RNAcentral lists this ribosomal RNA (494 nucleotides) under uncultured bacterium. Its description in RNAcentral is "partial 16S ribosomal RNA". It matches the Rfam family "Bacterial small subunit ribosomal RNA", at positions 28 to 507 of the family's 1533-position model. The record is from RNAcentral.
GACGAACGCUGGCGGCGUGCUUAACACAUGCAAGUCGAACGGUGAAGCGCCUUCCUUUUUGGUGGGUGUGGAUGAGUGGCGAACGGGUGAGUAACACGUGAGUAACCUGCCCCCUUCUUCUGGAUAACCGCAUGAAAGUGUGGCUAAUACGGGAUAUUCUGGGUCUGUCGCAUGAUGGGUCUGGGAAAGAUAUUGUUUCGGUGGGGGAUGGGCUCGCGGCCUAUCAGCUUGUUGGUGGGGUGAUGGCCUACCAAGGCGGUGAUGGCUAGCCGGCAUGAUAGGAUGGACGGUCACACUGGGAAUGAGACACGGACCAGACUCCUACGGGAGGCAGCAGUGGAGAAUAUUGCACAAUGGGAGCAAGCCUGAUGCAGCGACGCCGCGUGAGCGAUGGAGGCCUUCGGGUUGUGAACCUCUUUCGCCAGUGAAGCAGGCCUGCCUAGUUUGUAGGUGGGUUGACGGUAGCUGGAUAAGAAGCGCCGGCUAACUACGUG